Molecule: ribosomal RNA, 450 nt
Filed under: uncultured bacterium
Lineage: Bacteria
Description: partial 16S ribosomal RNA
Rfam family: Bacterial small subunit ribosomal RNA
Source: RNAcentral
GUGGGGAAUAUUGGACAAUGGGCGAAAGCCUGAUCCAGCCAUGCCGCGUGUGUGAAGAAGGUCUUCGGAUUGUAAAGCACUUUAAGUUGGGAGGAAGGGCAGUAAGUUAAUACCUUGCUGUUUUGACGUUACCGACAGAAUAAGCACCGGCUAACUUCGUGCCAGCAGCCGCGGUAAUACGAAGGGUGCAAGCGUUAAUCGGAAUUACUGGGCGUAAAGCGCGCGUAGGUGGUUUUGUAAGUUGGAGGUGAAAUCCCCGGGCUCAACCUGGGAACUGCAGCAAAAACUGCAUGACUAGAGUACGGUAGAGGGUAGUGGAAUUUCCUGUGUAGCGGUGAAAUGCGUAGAUAUAGGAAGGAACACCAGUGGCGAAGGCGACUACCUGGACUGAUACUGACACUGAGGUGCGAAAGCGUAGGGAGCAAACAGGAUUAGAUACCCCGGUAGUCC